GCCAGUGUGGCUCAGUGGUUGAGCGUCAGGCUAUGAACUAGUAGGUCAAGGUUUGAUUCCUGGUCAGGGCA
RNAcentral lists this transfer RNA (71 nucleotides) under Myotis davidii. It matches the Rfam family "tRNA". Rfam says of the family: Transfer RNA (tRNA) molecules are approximately 80 nucleotides in length. Their secondary structure includes four short double-helical elements and three loops (D, anti-codon, and T loops). Lineage: Eukaryota; Metazoa; Chordata; Mammalia; Chiroptera; Vespertilionidae. The record is from Rfam by way of RNAcentral.